AAUAACGAUAAGGCCUCGGGGAGCUGUAAGCAAGCUUUGAUCCGGGGAUGUCCGAAUGGGGAAACCCGGCUGUCUUCAUCGACAGUCACUACUCACUGAAUUCAUAGGUGAGUGAGAGGCAGACCAGGGGAACUGAAACAUCUAAGUACCCUGAGGAAGAGAAAACAAUAGUGAUUCCGUCAGUAGCGGCGAGCGAACGCGGAUUAGCCCAAACCAAGGAGCUUGCUCCUUGGGGUUGUGGGACGUCUCACAUGGAGUUACAAAGGAACCGGUUAGACGAAGAGGUCUGGAAAGGCCCGCCAGAGAAGGUAAAAGCCCUGUAGUUCAAAACCCGUUCCCUCCGAGACGGAUCCCGAGUAGUGCGGGGCACGUGAAACCCCGUAUGAAUCCGGCAGGACCAUCUGCCAAGGCUAAAUACUCCCUGGCGACCGAUAGUGAAGCAGUACCGUGAGGGAAAGGUGAAAAGCACCCCGGAAGGGGAGUGAAAUAGAUCCUGAAACCGUGUGCUUACAAGAAGUCAGAGCCCGAUCUAUGGGUGAUGGCGUGCCUUUUGUAGAAUGAACCGGCGAGUUACGUUCCCGUGCAAGGUUAAGGUGAAGAGCUGAAGCCGCAGCGAAAGCGAGUCUGAAUAGGGCGAAUGAGUACGUGGACGUAGACCCGAAACCGGGUGAUCUACCCCUGUCCAGGGUGAAGGUGCGGUAACACGCACUGGAGGCCCGAACCCACGCAUGUUGAAAAAUGCGGGGAUGAGGUGGGGGUAGCGGAGAAAUUCCAAUCGAACCCGGAGAGUAGCUG
RNAcentral lists this ribosomal RNA (795 nucleotides) under Paenibacillus sp. ICGEB2008. Its description in RNAcentral is "bacterial LSU rRNA". It matches the Rfam family "Bacterial large subunit ribosomal RNA", at positions 64 to 851 of the family's 2925-position model. Lineage: Bacteria; Bacillati; Bacillota; Bacilli; Caryophanales; Paenibacillaceae. The record is from RNAcentral.